CGGGGCGUAGCGCAGCUUGGCAGCGCGCCUCGCUUGGGACGAGGAGGUCGGAGGUUCAAAUCCUCUCGCCCCGACCA
Molecule: transfer RNA, 77 nt
Filed under: Bacillota bacterium
Lineage: Bacteria; Bacillati; Bacillota
Description: Firmicutes bacterium (anaerobic digester metagenome) tRNA-Pro
Rfam family: tRNA
About the family: Transfer RNA (tRNA) molecules are approximately 80 nucleotides in length. Their secondary structure includes four short double-helical elements and three loops (D, anti-codon, and T loops).
Source: RNAcentral